Molecule: ribosomal RNA, 497 nt
Filed under: uncultured bacterium
Lineage: Bacteria
Description: partial 16S ribosomal RNA
Rfam family: Bacterial small subunit ribosomal RNA
Source: RNAcentral
GAUGAACGCUGGCGGCGUGCCUAAUACAUGCAAGUCGAGCGAACAGACGAGGAGCUUGCUCCUCUGACGUUAGCGGCGGACGGGUGAGUAACACGUGGAUAACCUACCUAUAAGACUGGGAUAACUUCGGGAAACCGGAGCUAAUACCGGAUAAUAUAUUGAACCGCAUGGUUCAAUAGUGAAAGACGGUUUUGCUGUCACUUAUAGAUGGAUCCGCGCCGCAUUAGCUAGUUGGUAAGGUAACGGCUUACCAAGGCAACGAUGCGUAGCCGACCUGAGAGGGUGAUCGGCCACACUGGAGCUGGGACACGGUCCAGGCUCCUACGGGAGGCAGCAGUAGGGAAUCUUCCGCAAUGGGCGAAAGCCUGACGGAGCAACGCCGCGUGAGUGAUGAAGGUCUUCGGAUCGUAAAACUCUGUUAUUAGGGAAGAACAAAUGUGUAAGUAACUAUGCACGUCUUGACGGUACCUGAUCAGAAAGCCACGGCUAACUACGUG